Long non-coding RNA from Callorhinus ursinus (northern fur seal), 366 nucleotides. RefSeq lists it as uncharacterized. The record is from RefSeq and is a predicted model, not a curated record. NCBI's taxonomy places the organism in Eukaryota, Metazoa, Chordata, Mammalia, Carnivora, Otariidae.
CCUUAUUCCCUGGCCUCAGGCUAACUCUUAGCCUUUCUACAAGUAGGACAAGAAGGAAAUGAUUUGGACAAAGUUCAUGAACAAGUUCUAAGCGACCUCUUGCACAGCCUUGGGUUGAGACGGAUGGCCACUCAAGCCACUGAAUGGAGGCCCUGGAUUUGAACUACAUGUUCCCAAAUCCAUCCAGGGAGCUUUAAUGCAAGGCUCUUACAUGUUUUGAAGAUCUGAUAAUGCUGUGACCAGCAAAGAAUCUGAAGUGACAUUCUGGGAUAUGAGAAUGUCCCGUUCCAUUCCCUCAGUUCCCACAAGGCCUCCUGUACCCUGAUGAAUUUUAAACAGUAAAACUUUCUCUAAUAAUAGUCUCAA